CUCUUGCCAAUGAGCUGCACAUUAUCCCCAGCAGACAAAGCAUUUGGCACUGUAGGCUCCUUCCGACUGGUCUCAGGCGCUCGCUUGGAAUGGAAGAGGCUGAAUACUACAUCUCCUUUCAGGAUAUCGAAGUCCCAGAGUGCCUUUGCCAGAGGGGCUUACCUUGCCUUUGUGCGUUUCUUGCAGCCACUGACGGAGCCUGAUCAGGCAGCUUUCCUGCAUGGGAGUCAACUGUCCUAGGAUACUGAGACAUAAAGUCUUGCGCCAUUUCAUGUUAUAACUACUCAGAAUUCAAGGAGCUGAAAGUUAUGCUAGAAUAUACCAAGAAUUAGGAGCAAUGAGCAACAGGGGAAGAACCCAAGAUCACCUGCAUGGACUGUGCCACAAUGCUGGGCUCCCUGGACUAUCUCUCUGGCCAGAAGUAGAUGUCAUAGAGGGAAGGAAAUUAUUUCCAUCAAAUGUACUGACUAGCUGUAAGGCAGAAGGGAGGGCACAAUUCACAAUACAACUAAAGGCAAAAGAUUCUUCUUGUGCGUUCCUUAGAAUAUUCUCCUUUAGCCAAGUUCCAAGAUGGGGAAAAAGUCUUCCUGAUAGAAAAAUAAUAUGGAGGGGGAAGUGACAGAUGCAAAGAUUCAGAAUUACAUCUGACCCACCAUCUCUCAACUUGACACCACCAACCCAGCUUUACAGCUGUCUGGCAAUGACCUACAUUUGAAGACACAGGUCUGCUACCUUCAUGUCUCAUUCUCCGCUCAGGCAACACCUGAGACAGAACUAAAGUGACAGUAGAAUAAAGUGCUUUAGAGCGGCCACACGCAACACCAGGGCUCUAGGGACACAGUGAAAUUUAAGAGACCUGAGGAUUUUAAUCACAAAGGUCACGAAAGCAGCAAUAUUUCCAAGCUUCUCAGCUUUCAAGAAGCUGCACUCUUGAAUAGCCUCCAAUAAAGCAGGUAAGUAACACAAUCUGGGCUUUUGUUUACCACGCAGAAAAGGGUAUUACAUUGCUUCCAGAGAUGGACACAGCUACUCUUAAAUGUCAC
Molecule: long non-coding RNA, 1043 nt
Organism: Sceloporus undulatus (fence lizard)
Lineage: Eukaryota; Metazoa; Chordata; Lepidosauria; Squamata; Phrynosomatidae
Exons: 3
Source: RefSeq, a predicted model, not a curated record